GGCGACUGGCUGGAGGAAAGAUGGAAGACUUCCAGGCUGCAGAGGAGACUGCUUUUGUUGUUGAUGAUGAAGUGAGCAACAUUGUAAAGGAGGCUAUAGAAGGUGCCAUCAGUGGUAAUGCUUACCAGCACAGCAAAGUCAAUCAGUGGACCACAAAUGUUGUAGAACAGACUUUAAGCGAACUCACCAAGCUAGGAAAACCAUUCAAAUACAUUAUGACCUGUGUAAUCAUGCAGAAGAAUGGAGCUGGGUUACACACAGCAAGCUCCUGCUUCUGGGACAGCUCUACCGGUGGAGGCUGCACCAUGCGAUGGGAGAACAAGACCAUGUACUGCAUUGCCAGUGCCUUCGGACUGUCCAUCUGA
Molecule: RNA transcript, 365 nt
Organism: Nannospalax galili (Upper Galilee mountains blind mole rat)
Lineage: Eukaryota; Metazoa; Chordata; Mammalia; Rodentia; Spalacidae
Gene name: dynein light chain Tctex-type 1 pseudogene
Exons: 1
Source: RefSeq, a predicted model, not a curated record